GUAAAGUAAUCUACGCUUUUAACUUCAGUUUGUUUACAGUGAUGUCAAAGUCAAGAUGAGACAUUUUCUGAAAUUCCCGUGGCAGACUGGUUGGGUCUGCCAUCAAGUGUCUUGGUUUCAGAGCCAGUGCUUCAUGCCCUCUUUUGUAACCCUAGAGAAGAGAAAAGUGGGUGGUUCUGCUCUGCCAGUUUGAUAUGCCAGCAUUGACUGCAAGUUGUCAGAGAGAGGAUGUCAAACCAGCUCACACCUUAAUCAUUAUGCUCUAGAGUCAUGAACACAAUCUUUAUACUAAAUUACAC
Molecule: long non-coding RNA, 299 nt
Organism: Hirundo rustica (Barn swallow)
Lineage: Eukaryota; Metazoa; Chordata; Aves; Passeriformes; Hirundinidae
Exons: 3
Source: RefSeq, a predicted model, not a curated record